This 387-nucleotide ribosomal RNA is filed under the name Mytilus trossulus (common blue mussel). Its description in RNAcentral is "partial large subunit ribosomal RNA". The stretch from base 1 to 268 matches the Rfam family "Bacterial large subunit ribosomal RNA", at positions 2268 to 2646 of the family's 2925-position model. The record is from RNAcentral. Lineage: Eukaryota; Metazoa; Mollusca; Bivalvia; Mytilida; Mytilidae.
AUUUUGAUGGGAGAUCAGUGAAAAUAAGUCUUUCACUAUUAUAUAAAUCUAACUCGUAUUUCCUAACUUUAUAUGUGUGGCUAGCUACUCUAGGGAUAACAGCGCAAUUUCUCCCGAAAGAUGGUAUUGGAGGGGAAGAUUGCGACCUCGAUGUUGGCUUUAGAUAUCCUAGAGGCGUAGAAGCUUCUAAUGGUGGGUCUGUUCGCCCUUUAAAAUCUAACAUGAGCUGAGUUCAGAACGGCGUGAGCUAGUUCAGUUUCUAUCCUCUUUUAAAAAUGAGCUAAUUUUGUACGAAAGGACUUUUUCGCUAAAGCAACGCUUUGCCCUGGCUCUGUCAUUGCUUAAAUAAUGCUACGCAAUAAACUGAUUAGUUUAUAAAAAGGGUUG